CAACUGAAUGAGCAUCCAGGUUUGAACAAAACACCCAGGAGAUUCAUGUACACAAUAUGAAUUAGCAGUAUACCUGAAGGGUCCAGCCAGAAGGCAAAACCAUACCAGUUAUUUGAAAGAACAUUCAAUAUAAAGAGCUGUUAACGAGAGAACUAAAAGUGCAAAAGGGGAAUUCAAUGAGACCAUGGUGGUAGCAGCUGUAGGAAGCAACCAUCAUCCAUGUAGCUGUGAGAACAAGAAAAGUCCUGUAGAGGUGCCACGCAGAACCUGGACAGGAUACUGGAGGUCGGUGCCAGUGUCUCUGAGAGAGCAUGAGGAGGCUGGUUCCACAAGCAUUGGGAAAACUGCAGUCUGAAUCCAGCUGAUGCUACAGGAAGGCACCUUGGAUGUUACAGGAAGAUGUCAUGCUGGUGUGAUGUUUACAGAAACCUCAAGCAAACAAGGAAAGCUCACAGAGGGAACAGCUUUCUCCCUGGAACAGCAGAGGAGCAGACAGGAUCAAGCCUUUCUCUGUUCUCCAGCCUCACAGUCUCCCUCUGGUGCUGCCUACAUGAAGAGUGCAACAGGGAGCCCACAAAGCAGUACAGUUUGUGAAGUAUCACAGAGUAUCUCAAAGAUGAGUAUUACAAUGGGUUUGGAGCUAAGAGACAACUAACUUAAACAUUGACACAGAUGUUCAGAGCAGCCAUUGCAUAGGACAAAGGAACACAGGUACAGGGCUUUGGGCUCUAAAAGAAGCAAGGAAUUACAGUGGAAUCUUUGUAAAAGGUUAGAGUUUGAAUGGGCAUUAUGUCACACAGACAAGUAGGUAUGUGACUGGACAACUUAUCAAAUGUUUGUUUUGGUCAUCAUUUUAGUAAAAUGAGCAAAUAUUAUAUGUAACUGUUCUAAUAA
Molecule: long non-coding RNA, 894 nt
Organism: Canis lupus familiaris (dog)
Lineage: Eukaryota; Metazoa; Chordata; Mammalia; Carnivora; Canidae
Exons: 3
Source: RefSeq, a predicted model, not a curated record